GACGAACGCUGGCGGCGUGCUUAACACAUGCAAGUCGAACGGAAAGGCCCUGCUUUUGUGGGGUGCUCGAGUGGCGAACGGGUGAGUAACACGUGAGUAACCUGCCCUUGACUUUGGGAUAACUUCAGGAAACUGGGGCUAAUACCGGAUAGGAGCUCCUGCUGCAUGGUGGGGGUUGGAAAGUUUCGGCGGUUGGGGAUGGACUCGCGGCUUAUCAGCUUGUUGGUGGGGUAGUGGCUUACCAAGGCUUUGACGGGUAGCCGGCCUGAGAGGGUGACCGGCCACAUUGGGAUUGAGAUAAGGCACAGACUAGUACGGUAGGGAGCGGAGGAGAAGAGUACACAAGGGGCGGAGGCAAGAUGUGGCAACGCCGCGUGGGGGAUGACGGGCUUGGGUUUGGAAACCGCUUUCGCUUUAGACGAAGCGUGAAUGACGGUAACGGGUAAAGAAGCACCGGCUAACUACGUG
This 468-nucleotide ribosomal RNA is filed under the name uncultured bacterium. RNAcentral describes it as "partial 16S ribosomal RNA". It matches the Rfam family "Bacterial small subunit ribosomal RNA", at positions 28 to 507 of the family's 1533-position model. The record is from RNAcentral.